Molecule: ribosomal RNA, 615 nt
Filed under: Triticum aestivum (bread wheat)
Lineage: Eukaryota; Viridiplantae; Streptophyta; Magnoliopsida; Poales; Poaceae
Description: partial small subunit ribosomal RNA
Source: RNAcentral
AUGUGGUUUGUUUCAGGCAUGGGAUCUGCCGAUGACGGCCUAGAUGACGCCGACAGGAUCGUCUACCCGAGCAGCUACAUGGAGAGCACACUGUACGCGGUGAGGAACGGAGCGGACGUGAGAGGCUACUUCGCGUGGGCGUUCCUGGACAUGUUCGAGCUCCUGUCAGGGUACCAGUCGAGUUUCUCUGUACAACGUACCCAUGUGAACAUGAUAGCGGGACUGAGGUUAGGGAAGGAUUACGCCCCUAAGGUGGAAUCUGCAAGUACCAGCGAGCAGGAGCAGCUCUCGGGCGUGCUCCCUUACUCCUCCCCCUCACGAUCCAGAUGCAGCAGCAGCUCGCCGGCGGCAAGCAGGUGGUGGGCUCCUAAACUCCUUCCCCCUCAUGUUCAACAACAAGGUAUACUGCUCCACUCCCCUCCCCCAUCUCUCUCUUACAGAUUUGAACAGAGCCGACGCGAGGGGCUACUUUGCAUGGGCGUUCAUGGACCUAUUCGAGCUCCUGCCAGGGUACUAGUCGAGGUAUGGGCUGUACCGCGUCGACUUGGCCGACGAGAGGCGACCGCGGCAAGCCAGGCUCUCGGCUCGCUGGUACGCUGGCUUCCUCAAGCAUAA